AAAAAUCCGCAUCAAAUCCAAGCAGUAAAGGCUGUGACUCACAACUACUCAGCAGCCAGAAAUCCUGUCAGGCAGGCCAAGCCUUCAUAUAGCAGGAGGUCACUGGAACACAGUCUGGCUCACCUCUCUCAUUGAUCAAAAGAGUGCAACCACUCAGACAUCUCCUGCUUGCCUUCCCUUUUAAAAGUCGAAUGCUGAGAAGCUGCUUCCGAGUGGGCAGAGAACAGGAUGACACAGAUACAAUAUUUCUGGGAAAUAAAAUUAAGUUUUAGCUCAGCAACUGCUGAAACUUACUGCGCUGAUGAGUUCUGCCUUGUAACCCAGGGGCUUCAGCCAAGAGAAACUUGAGUCAGAAGACCCAAUUUCACUUCCUGCCUCUGUUCCUACCCCACUGUUUGAUCUUGAAUUAGUCACUUCACCAUCCCUGGAAACAGAGUCCUUCUCUGAGGAAUACUGCUUGGGAACAGCCUGGAGAUCAGUGAGAACAAGGAAGAGAUGGGAUGCACCAGAAAACCGAACAAGAAAAAGAAAACAAGAGCAAAGCAGGUCCCCUGCUGUGCCCCCAGGUACAUGACCACAUGCCAGAAAGAAAAGCCAUCCAGAGCCACCUAUGCAGAUGCCCACAGAGCUUGCCAAGGAGCAGAUGCCUUGGGCAGUAAAUCAUCUACAGUUUGGUCUCUGGGGUUGUAUGACUGCCAUCAAAAAAUGCAGAGAGGAGGAGGAGACAAGGCCACUGGCAGUGAGCACUACUCUGAGCAGCACCUGGCCAGUAUCAGCUGUUUUGCAAAAGGAGUUGCAAGUGUAUAUUUCAAGGAAAAAGAAGAAACAAGAAAAAAAAAGAGAAAAAGUACCACUUUGUAAAGGUUUCUUGCUAUCACCGCUACCAGUUCCUCCGCUUCUAACUGAGAGGAAAAGCCCAGAAAUACCCGGGUGUAGAAGAUUAUGUCCUGACAACUUUAAUGCUAAGAGUCUUAGUGAUACCUUUUCACACACAACUUUUUAGUAGCAGUUUUAGCAGGUGUAAACUCUGUGUUCCCUCCUCACCCAGGCUGUUUCUCCCUGGGCUCAGGUCAAGACUUACGUUGUGCCAAUUCAAGUGUUUGGAGCGGAUAAUUGAUCCCACUGAAAACAAUUCUUUUUCCUUGCUUUUGGCUGGAUUUGCUCACUGAUCUGCUCACUGUACUAUCACACAAGCUGUUGUAACAGCAAGUACGGAGUGGGAGGUGAGGAGUGGGCUGCUCCUCUUGAUGGCUGUGUCGCUGUUUGACUGAAGUUAGAACAAAGGCAGACAUGAAAGAAGCUACAUUUAUCGCUUAAGCUGCUGGACAUCCCCCUUCAGGGAUGUCGCUAGUCAUAUUCUGUGCAGUAGAGGAACUGCAUCACUUAAAUACUUCAGAGCAAGAUCAAAAUGUUUCAAGAUGAGCUAACAUAGGAUGCUUUACUUUCUCAAGACGGCAUUCCACAAACAUCUGACCAAAGUGAGGGAACACCGUGCACGGUGCUGGGCUGAGAGGGAACUGCCACCAAAACUAAGAUGCUUUGUGUUUCAGCAUUCAACAGGCCUUGCCUCGUCACGCCGCCAUAGCGCCACCUGCUGCCCCGGGCGGCCGGGAAAUGGAGACCGCGAUCGCCCACCUGCCGGCCUGUUGGGGCUUUUCCCCCGACCCAAGGUGGAGGCAAUGUGAUACUGAUAUUUCUAAGCUUUAUACCAACAACCUGGCAUAUGAAGCAAAGAAGCCCUGUCAGAUGAGUAUUCCUGGUCCCAUAACACACAGCAUUUUCAAAGGAGUUGUUGUGGUUUAACCCAGCAGGUGGCUCACCACCACACAGUCAUUCACUCAUGACUUAGUGCGUGUUCUGUUUUAAAUCUUUAUUGAUGAUCUGGACAAGAAGAUUUAGUGUACCCUCAGUAAGUUUGCAGAUAGCACCAAGCUGCUAAGAAGUGUCAAUCUGCCUGGGGGUAAGAAGGUCCUACAGAGGGAUCUGGACAGUGUCCAUCACUGGGAUGAAGCCAGUAGGAUGAAAUUCAACAAGACCAAGUGCCAGGUCCUGAACUUUGGCCACAACAACCCCAGGAAAUGCUACAGGCUUGAGGCAGAGUGGCUGGAAGGUUGUGCAAAAGAAAUGGACCUCGGGGUGCUGGUCAGUGCUUGGCUAAACUUGAACCAGCAGUGUGCCCAGGUAGCCAAGAAGGCCAAUGGCAUCCUGAUUGUAUCAGAAAUAGUGUUGUCAAGCA
Molecule: long non-coding RNA, 2236 nt
Organism: Coturnix japonica (Japanese quail)
Lineage: Eukaryota; Metazoa; Chordata; Aves; Galliformes; Phasianidae
Source: RefSeq, a predicted model, not a curated record